CAUCCAGUAGGAUAUUUUAUGGUCCCACACGCAUGCCGCAUGUGUGAAACCGUCAGCAUCAAAUCAUAAUGGAGUAUGAUUAGGAGGGGAGGCCAGUAGAAGAGACCGCACAGGAGAUGCAUUCUUUUUUUGGAGUGCUUGUGAGGUGGUCUGACAUCAUUUUCGUACUACCUGUAGACUAGCGAUUGAUGGAUGCUGGUGUCAAGGACCGAGUGUGGGAGGAGAUUUGGAUAAGUGUAUCUUAAUUAUAUAUAUGCAUAUGAUAUAUUUACACUAUGUUUGACUAGAAUAAUUUUGUAACGGACUUCUAAUAACUUUAUACAGAGGAGGAAUGACUUUUCAAAUUAUGAGAGGGCUUGAGAUGUCCGACUGCAGAAGAUUAGAGAGUUAUACCAGAACUACAAGGUCAAGCUUCAUAGAGAGUAGCUAGAGCACCAUAGGAACACUGAGGAGGAGCUUGUUCCUUGGAUCUAGGACUGUCUUUCGAGUCAAUGGGCGGAGAUGGUCAGGCAUUGGAGGAGCCAGGAGUUUUAGGCUGCCUUCCAUCAGAAUCGGGAGAAUUGGGCUACUCAGAAGUACACGCACACUCGCGAUCGUGAGUUUAUGGCCAGUUGUGUGCAUAGAGAGCUGAUGAGAGAGGGAGUGAUACCCACCCAUAGCAUCAUCUUCCGAUCUAGUCGUACGGACAAGAAGGGCAGGCUGAUCAAUACCAUAAUUGAGAGGAUUUUUGUAAGUAAUAACUAGAGUAUGAUUAGUAUAAUUAGUACUAUAGCAUUUCUUAUAAGAUUUUAUUUGAAUUUACAAUUACAAGAGCAAUUAGACGCGCUUGCGAGUGAGGGCCCG
Elaeis guineensis (African oil palm) is the source of this 843-nucleotide non-coding RNA. NCBI's taxonomy places the organism in Eukaryota, Viridiplantae, Streptophyta, Magnoliopsida, Arecales, Arecaceae. The record is from RefSeq and is a predicted model, not a curated record.